GUGUCAUCCCAGGAGCCUCCUGAGUGGAUUUCCCCAAUGCUGGUGUGGUGCUGGAGCCUGAGCAGUGAUCCUGUGUUAUGUAACACAAAACUACAAGUGUCAGCAAGAGGACUGCAAGAAUGAAUCCUGUUCCCUGAAAUGCAGCUGGGGAACGAGGGCAGCUCAGGCCACCCCAGGCCUCAGGAGAUUGAUAGUGUUGGCAGCUGAGGAUCUAAUUAUGGAUUAUUUGGGUCGGACUCUUUUAUCCCAGUGUGCUGUAAAUCUGAUGAUGGGCCCUUUAAUUCCUGCUUGUUCUGUCAGGAUGAAGAACGGCGCUAAAUCCAGCAGACCUCGUUUCGGCAAAACUCCCACUGAAGUCAGGCUUCGUGAAAUUCAGAUGGUAAAUGGCUGCUCCCUCAAAACAGUGGAUGUGCUGCUUUGGAUGCCUGGAACUAUUUAAUCUCUCAGGUCCAUGUGGAUCUUGCUGUAGCUCCAAGGACAGCUGAAAUCAACAUCACUAAAUCCCCCAAAGCUGCAGAAUAUUACAGUAGUUUUAUAGCUGGGAUGCCUCCUCAUCCAGUUCUGGAUAGGGAUAAGGACAAGUCUUUGGAAACAAAGUGAGCUGCAGCUCAUGUGACUGCUCGGAUUGGUGCUCCAGCUGGGACAAAUUUGGUAAGUGCUCAUGCCCCAAAUUUACCUUUUUUUUUUUUUUUUUUUUUUAAUUUGGGCUUUCCCAAUAGAAAUGCAAGUAUUUUGCCAUUUGGAAUAUUUAAUCUUAUUAACCAGCCACGCUAUUAAUAAUAACAAAGUAAAAAACCGAAAAGUUAGCUUUUUGUUGCAAGAUAGGAAGAUAAAACUGUGAAAUUCUAAGAGUUUUGAAUGCUCCUACCAAAUCCUGAACUAAGUGGAAAAGCCAGUGAACAGAAUCCAUUAAAGCUGCAUUUAUUAAAUGUCCACUUGUAUGAAAAGCUAAAAAUAGUGUUUGAGUUUUUCCAAUUUUCCUUUGAUAACAGUUAUU
Vidua macroura (Pin-tailed whydah) is the source of this 997-nucleotide long non-coding RNA. RefSeq lists it as uncharacterized. The record is from RefSeq and is a predicted model, not a curated record. Lineage: Eukaryota; Metazoa; Chordata; Aves; Passeriformes; Viduidae. The transcript is spliced from 4 exons.